CUAGUUGGUGGGGUAACGGCCCACCAAGGCGACGACGGGUAGCCGGCCUGAGAGGGCGACCGGCCACACUGGGACUGAGACACGGCCCAGACUCCUGCGGGAGGCAGCAGUGGGGAAUAUUGCGCAAUGGGCGAAAGCCUGACGCAGCGACGCCGCGUGGGGGAUGAAGGCCUUCGGGUUGUAAACCCCUUUCAGCGGGGAAGAUAAUGACGGUACCCGCAGAAGAAGUCCCGGCUAACUCCGUGCCAGCAGCCGCGGUAACACGUAGGGCGCAAGCGUUGUCCGGAAUUAUUGGGCGUAAAGAGCUCGUAGGCGGUCUGUUGCGUCUGCUGUGAAAACCCGGGGCUUAACCCCUGGCUUGCAGUGGAUACGGACAGACUAGAGGUAGGUAGGGGAGAAUGGAAUUCCCGGUGUAGCGGUGAAAUGCGCAGAUAUCGGGAGGAACACCGGUGGCGAAGGCGGUUCUCUGGGCCUUACCUGACGCUGAGGAGCGAAAGCGUGGGGAGCGAACAGGAUUAGAUACCCUGGUAGUCCACGCUGUAAACGUUGGGCGCUAGGUGUGGGGUCCUUCCACGGAUUCCGUGCCGCAGCUAACGCAUUAAGCGCCCCGCCUGGGGAGUACGGCCGCAAGGCUAAAACUCAAAGGAAUUGACG
Molecule: ribosomal RNA, 654 nt
Filed under: uncultured Actinomycetes bacterium
Lineage: Bacteria; Bacillati; Actinomycetota; Actinomycetes
Description: SSU rRNA
Rfam family: Bacterial small subunit ribosomal RNA
Source: RNAcentral